GAGGGAGAAACCGCGGAGAGAAACCCCUUUUUUUCCUCCCCUUCCCCUCCCUAGGAUGGAGUAUUAAAGCCCUCGCCGCGCCGCUGCUCACCUUGUGGGGCUCCUCUUGUCGCCCAUGCCAGACCAGGGAGAAUCUGGAGGAGCUGAGACGAGCAGAACACUCGGGUUUUUUUAUUCUCGUUAUUUUAGCUAAAGAAGCGAUGCGCCUGUGCCGCUCGGCUUCCAGCUGUCGUGGAAACUCCGCUUGGGAAAUAGACACGUGACCACGCGUCGGCCAAUCAGCGGCGCGCUUACUUCCCGUGGCUGACAUUCCUCUUCAUGAAUCAGUGCUGCGUUCAGGGACACCCCGCAGAUAUACUGCAGCUGUUUAUACCGGAGGAUCAUACGCAGGAACGUUGGGGAAAUCCUUGGCUCACUUUGCAUGCUGACGCAAGAGGGGACAAAAAGCACAUGAGGAUCCAGGGGUUCCUGAGACGCUUCACAACAAGGACAUAGUGAAAAUCUCCAUAAUAUCCAAACGAUGGGGUUUCACUGCAGGGAAAUCAGAAACAUAGCUUUUACAUUUUCAUAGCAUAGGUCAACGUGGGAUGUUUUGAUUCCCCCCCCCCCCCUUUUUAAUUGGAAUGUCCCCUUCUUUGUUUGCAUCUGAUCAAAUACAGCAAUUGUAUGCUCAAAUGACCCAUUUGUCACCAUAUGUACAAAAACAACAAAAAACUGCAAAACAAAUAUAGGGAAAAAAAAGCUUUCACUUUAUUGGAAAAAGGCAAGAAGUAAAUGAUCUGUUUUCUGCAUCUGACCAAGAAAUGUAGGCUAUGUCUUAAGUCAAGAUUUUAUUGAGUGAUAAAAACGAACAAACAAUCUUCAUAGACACAGUCACGCCAUGAAUAAUUCAGCUUUUUGCAUUUAUUAAAAGGUUUAUUGGGGGGGUGCAGGGGUCAUCUGUUAGUGGCGGCUCUCUUUUCUUUGUUUAAACACCAUAUUGCUAAACAAAAUACAGCUUUUGAAAUACUAUGAAAAAAAUUAUAAAAAUGUUCUUUAAGUCUGUUUAAGUUAUUAGUCGCUGAGCUCCUCCUCGUCACUGAAGUAUGCACUUUUUUUGAUCCUUCGCUUCUUGGAUUCGGAGGAUGUCGACGCAUGAGCACUGUCCUCUUCUGCUUGCCUCCUCUGUUUUUUCUCCUCUUCCUCGACGUGGGCUUGCUG
Molecule: long non-coding RNA, 1200 nt
Organism: Cololabis saira (Pacific saury)
Lineage: Eukaryota; Metazoa; Chordata; Actinopteri; Beloniformes; Belonidae
Exons: 2
Source: RefSeq, a predicted model, not a curated record